AUUGAACGCUGGCGGCAGGCCUAACACAUGCAAGUCGAGCGGAUGAAGGGAGCUUGCUCCUGGAUUCAGCGGCGGACGGGUGAGUAAUGCCUAGGAAUCUGCCUGGUAGUGGGGGAUAACGUCCGGAAACGGGCGCUAAUACCGCAUACGUCCUGAGGGAGAAAGUGGGGGAUCUUCGGACCUCACGCUAUCAGAUGAGCCUAUGUCGGAUUAGCUAGUUGGUGGGGUAAAGGCCUACCAAGGUGACGAUCCGUAACUGAUCUGAGAGGAUGAUCAGUCACACUGGAACUGAGACACGGUCCAGACUCCUACGGGAGGCAUCAGUGGGGAAUAUUGGACAAUGGGCGAAAGCCUGAUCCAGCCAUGCCGCGUGUGUGAAGAAGGUCUUCGGAUUGUAAAGCACUUUAAGUUGGGAGGAAGGGCAGUAAGUUAAUACCUUGCUGUUUUGACGUUACCAACAGAAUAAGCACCGGCUAACUUCGUG
RNAcentral lists this ribosomal RNA (484 nucleotides) under uncultured bacterium. RNAcentral describes it as "partial 16S ribosomal RNA". It matches the Rfam family "Bacterial small subunit ribosomal RNA", at positions 30 to 507 of the family's 1533-position model. The record is from RNAcentral.